This 465-nucleotide ribosomal RNA is filed under the name uncultured Weissella sp. RNAcentral's name for it is "bacterial SSU rRNA". It matches the Rfam family "Bacterial small subunit ribosomal RNA", at positions 338 to 795 of the family's 1533-position model. Lineage: Bacteria; Bacillati; Bacillota; Bacilli; Lactobacillales; Lactobacillaceae. The record is from RNAcentral.
CCUACGGGGGGCAGCAGUAGGGAAUCUUCCACAAUGGACGAAAGUCUGAUGGAGCAACGCCGCGUGUGUGAUGAAGGGUUUCGGCUCGUAAAACACUGUUGUAAGAGAAGAAUGACAUUGAGAGUAACUGUUGAUUGUGUGACGGUAUCUUACCAGAAAGGCACGGCUAAAUACGUGCCAGCAACCGCGGUAAUACGUAUGUUCCAAGCGUUAUCCGGAUUUAUUGGGCGUAAAGCGAGCGCAGGCGGUUUUUUAAGUCCGAUGUGAAAGCCCACAGCUUAACUGAGGAAGUGCUUAGGAAACUGGAUAACUUGAGUGCAGAAGAGGAGAGUGGAACUCCAUGUGUAGCGGUGAAAUGCGUAGAUAUAUGGAAGAACACCAGUGGCGAAGGCGGCUCUCUGGUCUGUAACUGACGCUGAGGCUCGAAAGCGUGGGUAGCAAACAGGAUUAGAUACCCCGGUAGUC